CCUGCAGGCUACCGGAGUUGGAAUCUCGAGUCUGUGGUGGAUGACUGGCUGGAGAGCUACGAGCAGAAUCGAGACUUGAGCUUCCUAGAACUUUUCGACUUCUUCAUCCGAUCAGGUCUCGGGAUGCUGUGGACCUAAACCGAGUACGUCCUGAGCGGACUCCAGGCCGGACACGGAAAUCCGAACGUUUCAAGGGAGCAAGAGCAGAUACGGGGGCGGAGGCGCGGUGGCCAGUACAAGGUAGACGGGAUCCCUUCAACUGGAAGAGCGGGUUCGGGAACGAAAGAAAACAGGCUUGGGAGUCCGGAGUCUUGGCGGUUCUACUACUGGCUGCUGUGUGACCAGCUAGUCUUCCAGGAGACUCCAAUGACUUCACCAUUCCUUACUGGUCUGGUUACUUGAAGGAACUGGAGGUUGACAGAAGGCUGGAUACAGUCCCCGUCCCAUACGGGGCUCACCGUCUGACGUGGGACGGAGAACGGGCGUUAAAAUCCCAUUUUGCAGAUGAGGAAACUGAGGUACAGGGAAGUGGUUUGCCCAAGGUCACAGGAUUUGGACGGAGUUCCGUAUGACAUCAUCGCCGUACGCUGCAGCCCAGCGAGGUAAAAGGACGACAUCAAGCGUGGCUCGGUGCAGAGAGCACGGGCUUGGGAGUCGGAGGUCGUGGGUUUUAAUCCCACCUCCGCCAACCUGUCUGCUGUGCCA
Molecule: long non-coding RNA, 705 nt
Organism: Ornithorhynchus anatinus (platypus)
Lineage: Eukaryota; Metazoa; Chordata; Mammalia; Monotremata; Ornithorhynchidae
Exons: 7
Source: RefSeq, a predicted model, not a curated record